Molecule: unclassified non-coding RNA, 208 nt
Filed under: uncultured Trechispora
Lineage: Eukaryota; Fungi; Basidiomycota; Agaricomycetes; Polyporales; Polyporaceae
Description: sequence contains ITS2
Source: RNAcentral
AGUCAUCAACCCCUUCCGUUUCGUGCGGACUGGGUUGGAUCUGGGGGCUCUGCCGCCGCGAGGCGGCUCCCCUCAAAUGCAUCGGUUGGGCCUGUGGGUCGAACUCGACUGGGCGUUGUACCAUCCUCGCUCGACAGAGACGUUCCCCUUGCGAGCCCUCCCCCGACCUGCCUCUGGAGUGGCGGUCACCGAGCGAAAGCUUCUCGAU